AACGCGAAGAACCUUACCUGGACUCGAAAUGCCGUCGACCGUCUCAGAGAUGAGGCUUUCCCGCAAGGGACGGCGGUAUAGGUGCUGCAUGGCUGUCGUCAGCUCGUGUCGUGAGAUGUUGGGUUAAGUCCCGCAACGAGCGCAACCCUCACCCUUAGUUGCACGUCCGCAAGGAAUGCACCCUAAGGGAACUGCCUCGGAUAACGGGGAGGAAGGUGGGGAUGACGUCAAGUCCUCAUGGCCUUUAUGCCCAGGGCUACACACGUGCUACAAUGGCCGGUACAAAGCGUCGCGAACCCGCGAGGGGGAGCCAAUCGCCAAAAACCGGUCUCAGUUCGGAUUGCAGUCUGCAACUCGACUGCAUGAAGCUGGAAUCGCUAGUAAUCGCGUAUCAGAACGACGCGGUGAAUACGUUCCCGGGCCUUGUACACACCGCACUACUA
Molecule: ribosomal RNA, 443 nt
Filed under: uncultured bacterium
Lineage: Bacteria
Description: bacterial SSU rRNA
Rfam family: Bacterial small subunit ribosomal RNA
Source: RNAcentral